GGCGAUUUCAAUGAGAUUCUGUAUUCCCAUGAGAAGGAGGGUGGAGCGCCGCGACCAACAAGUAUGAUGCAGAGAUUCAGAGACGCUUUGGUUGACAGUGAACUUGCGGAUAUGGGCUUCACCGGCGACCAAUUCACUUGGCGGCGACGUAGAUUACGGGAGAGGCUAGAUAGGGCUGUUUGUAAUGGACAGUUCCUAGGUCUCUUCCCUAAUGCAAAGAUCACCAACACAGCACACACUAAAUCUGAUCAUAGGCUCGUCCUU
RNAcentral lists this ribosomal RNA (264 nucleotides) under Triticum aestivum (bread wheat). RNAcentral's name for it is "partial small subunit ribosomal RNA". Lineage: Eukaryota; Viridiplantae; Streptophyta; Magnoliopsida; Poales; Poaceae. The record is from RNAcentral.